UACGUAGGGUGCAAGCGUUAAUCGGAAUUACUGGGCGUAAAGCGUGCGCAGGCGGCUUUGCAAGACAGAUGUGAAAGCCCCGGGCUCAACCUGGGAAUGGCAAUGGAAACUGGCGAGCUUGAGUGUGGCAGAGGGGGGUGGAAUUCCGCGUGUAGCAGUGAAAUGCGUAGAGAUGCGGAGGAACACCGAUGGCGAAGGCAGCCCCCUGGGCCAACACUGACGCUCAGGCACGAAAGCGUGGGGAGCAAACAGG
RNAcentral lists this ribosomal RNA (253 nucleotides) under uncultured bacterium. Its description in RNAcentral is "partial 16S ribosomal RNA". It matches the Rfam family "Bacterial small subunit ribosomal RNA", at positions 524 to 776 of the family's 1533-position model. The record is from RNAcentral.